UGGGUGUGGCAGACCCCUGGGCUAACAGCCCAAGGAAUGCACUUCAAUGGCCCCCACAGGUGUCCUAUCGGCAUGCCUGGACCAGCUCAGAACAAUGGCCCUCACCAAUGUCUCAGUCUCUGGAGAGGACCCUCCUCUCACCAAGAUGCCCCCAGAGCCCACCAGAGUAAGAUUCUCCCUACACUAACGUCUGUGCCAAUCUUCUUCCUGUUUCUCCCUCCUCACAGCCCCAGUACAUGGUCGUGUAUAGUUAAAAUCUGCAAAGUCAUGUAGCCAGAGCAUGUGCAGAAAAAGAAAUCUUGACCUGAAAUGACCGUGGAACCAAAGAUUCUCCUCUCCAAGGAACCAAAGGACCAGGACAUGACCAGAAUGUAAAAGUCAGACUCUUAUCAGAGGCCAAGGGUCCAUCAUUCAGGAAGAUCUGGUGUUAAAACUCCUUCCCCACCUUACCAUAAAAGUUUAGAGCUUCAUCAUAAAUAUUUAGAAUCCUGCCAUAAAUGCUUGAAGCCCGCCAAUCAAAACCUGUCCUGUCAACAUUUCCAAGUGCCAGCCUGUUCUCCCUAACCUCUUAAAUUUUGCCCCAAAUCCUGAAUUGGGGAGACAGAUCUGAGGGCACAUUCCCCCUGUCUCCUUGAAGAUUAAUCUCUGAGAAUAAAGCUGAAUUCUUUUCCCAAAUGCUGAUGCCAUGAUUGAUUGGCUUGUUUAUGUGCAUUGGGUAGGAGAACCCCAUUUUUGUGCAAUAACAACACUGUCUACCUGGAGGUAGCAUCAGAUUCCACAAAUUAAAGGUUCAUCUCUGCAAGACCACCCCCACCCCUUCCACUUCAGACACAAUUCGCAAGCCCAGGCUGUUACCUGUACUUCUUACCAAUCAGC
RNAcentral lists this long non-coding RNA (876 nucleotides) under Equus caballus (horse). RNAcentral describes it as "lncRNA (ENSECAG00000055967.1)". The record is from RNAcentral. Lineage: Eukaryota; Metazoa; Chordata; Mammalia; Perissodactyla; Equidae.